RNAcentral lists this non-coding RNA (775 nucleotides) under Adicella ragma. Lineage: Eukaryota; Metazoa; Arthropoda; Insecta; Trichoptera; Leptoceridae. The record is from RNAcentral.
AUAAAAAAAACUAUUUUAUGUAAAAUAAUUAAAAAAAUUUAUUUUUUUUAUUUAUAAAUUAUUUUUAAAUAAAUAUUUAAAUAAAAAAUUUAAAAUUAAUAAAAUAUUAUUUAAUAUUAAAAAUUAUUAAAAAUAAUUUUAGAAAUAAAUUAAUUAUUAAUAAAAAUUGUGCCAGCAAUUGCGGUUAAACAAUUAAUAAAUUAAAUAAUUUUAUACUUUAAUUAUUUCACAAUUAUUUUAUAAAAUUAUUUAAUUAAAUAAAAUUUUUAAAUAGUUUAAAUAAUUAAUUUUUAUUAAAUUUUGAUUAAUUUAAAUAAAAUCUUAAUUAAACUAGGAUUAGAGACCCUAUUAUUUGGUUGAAAUAAAAAUUAUAAUUAUUAAAAGUUAAAAGCUUUAAAUUAAAUAAAGUUGGCUGUAUUUUAAUUUAUUUAGAGGAACUUGUUAUUUAAUUUGAUUUUCCACGAUAAGCAUAUACUUUAUUUAUAAAAUUUAUAUAUCGUUGUUAAAAAAUUUAUUUAAAAAUUAAAAUUUAAUAUUUUUUAUAAAAAAAAAUUUCAAAUCAAGAUGUAAUUAAUAAUAAAGGAUUAUAAAAAUGAGUUAUAUAAAAUUAUUUAUGGAAUAAAAAUUUUAAAAUUUAAAGAAAUUAGAUUUAAAAGUAAUUUAAUUAAAUUUAAUUAAAUGAUUUAAUUUUAAAAUAAGUACAUAUUGCCCGUCACUUUCAUAAUUUAUGAAAUAAGUCGUAACAAAGUAAGAGUAUUGGAAAAUGUUCUUAGAA